GCUGAUGGUUCCCUGAGGACCUUGAGGGCUGAGAGUGAAUAUCUGAAAGGAGAGAAGGGCCGGGGAACGAGCCCAAAGCCUCCCUGAGGUUCCUGAGCAUGGGAGAAACGUGGUCAGCAAACAUAAGCCACAGAGCCCAGACCAUCUGCCCAGGCUCAGUGUGGUUCUGCUCACCAUGGAGAGACAGGUUCUCCGUCAACCUGCCCAGAUCAAUCUCAUGGACAUCGAUCCCUGAGGUUAUCCCCUGCUGCCAACUGCUUGAGGAGGAAGAAGGUCAAUGGGAUUCUGCCCACCUGGAAAAGAGGGCUUCUCCCCCAACCUGCACACAUCAGCCUCAUGGAAAUCUGGCCUUGAGAUUGUCCCUUGCUUCCAACAACCUGAAGAGGCCAGAAACAGAAGCCACAGCCAAUGGUUUGUCAAAAAGAGGCCAGGAAUAGAGGAGAGCAAUUUCACUAGGAGAGCUAUAAACACUUCCUCAACGGGUCCAGACUGAUUGGAACCAAUAUUGUAAUUAAUAAAAUUCUGCAGGAAAGCAUAAACUAGUAAGAUUGACCUAUUAUAUGAAACAUUCCACUCUGGCCUACAUGAAACAUACUCCUAUUCUAACAUAUUAGCA
RNAcentral lists this long non-coding RNA (616 nucleotides) under Sarcophilus harrisii (Tasmanian devil). Its description in RNAcentral is "lncRNA (ENSSHAG00000024533.1)". The record is from RNAcentral. Lineage: Eukaryota; Metazoa; Chordata; Mammalia; Dasyuromorphia; Dasyuridae.